GGGCGUAUGGUGUAGUGGUAUCACACAUGCUUUGCAAUCGUGAUCAGAUGAGCUGGUCAUGUGACUUGUAUGUAGUCCAGGGUUCAAUCCCCUGUGCGUCCA
Non-coding RNA from Mycena albidolilacea, 102 nucleotides. The record is from the annotation of a GenBank genome assembly. Lineage: Eukaryota; Fungi; Basidiomycota; Agaricomycetes; Agaricales; Mycenaceae.